ACCACCAAUCACCAGCACUCCAGCAGUUCAUCACUGCACCACGUCUCAAGUUCUCGAGCAGGAAAAAAAUUGAACAACAGCACCAACAUACAACUGAAAAUUCAUUAACAACAACAAGAAAAGGAAAACGUUAAACUGCAACGAGUUUCCCAAUCAAAAAAGUUUUCUCCAGAAGAUGAGGAACAUGAUGGUGUUACCAACUACUCUCCGGUGCUCAAUUCUCCCAAUUUCUCGCUUCCAUUCAACCAUCAUUUCCUCCAACUUCCUCCUUCUUCCUUUUCCCAACUCCGCCGUUUUCAAGUCCUCCUCCGCCUCUUAUUUUCUCUCUCCUCGCCGCACGUUCGUCUCCGCUCCCAUGGCUGCCGCCUCUCAACCACGCUUCUCUCAGACAGUAGUGGCUGGAAAUGCUGUUGAUGAGGUUGAAAUCUUUCAACGUAUUCAAUCUCACCAGGAAAAGGCAGCUAGGCUUCCACCUGUGGAAGAAAUUCGAACGGCUCUUGCUAAUACUACUCGCGGAAUGCUUUCUACCUUCUCUAAGAAAUAUGACGGUUAUCCGUCAGGAUCGAUGGUAGACUUUGCUUGUGAUGCAGAUGGAUCUCCGAUCUUGGCAGUCAGCAGCUUGGCUGUUCAUACACAGGACCUAUUGGCCAAUCCACAGUGCUCACUACUCGUGGCAAAAGAUCCAGAAGACAGGACUGAUUUAGUAAUUACUCUGCAUGGUGAUGCAGUUGCUGUUGCUGAAGAAGAUAGAGAAGCUGUUCGUAUUGCUUAUUUGGCUAAACAUCCUAGUGCCUUUUGGGUCGACUUUGGCGACUUCCGAUUUUUGAAGAUCCAGCCAAAAGUAGUUCGGUAUGUUUCUGGAGUUGCAACAGCCUUAUUGGGCUCAGGAGAAUUCGGCAGAGAGGAGUACAGUGCAGCAAAAGCAGAUCCAAUAUCUGAGUUCUCUAAGCCUAUAGCGUCCCAUAUGAACAAGGAUCAUGAAGAAGACACAAAGCUAAUUGUGCAGUAUUCAACUACCAUACCGGUGGAAUCUGCUUACAUUCUGGAUGUAGACCAACUCGGUUUCAACGUCAAGGUAAGCUGUAUGGGGAAAAGCUACAAGCUUCGAGUUCCAUUUCCUAGACCAGCAGUUGAUAGAAAGGGUGUGAAGACACUCAUAGUUGAAAUGCUUCAAGCGGCAAAGUCGAUGGGCAAUUAAACUUGCGUUUCUGCAGAGAAAAUGUAUGUGGUAAAAAAGUACAGUAUUGAAAUGAGAUCUGUCACUAAUUUUGUUUUUCACAAGAUCUACUCCGUACAGCCAAAAUCCUUAUUCAUCCUUCGCAGGUAUCAUUGCUUGUGUGAUUAUAUUUACUUAUGCCAGUGUUGUUUUCGGCUAAACACCAACUGAUUUUCGCUUCAGUUCUUUCAGUGCGGGCCUCUGGUAUACGGAAUAGAGAAACCUUUGUGUCAAAGUGGAGACAAUCAAUACGAAUUAUAAGGAAGCAGGGGAUGAUACGGAAAAGAAACAACAGAUUAUGUGUCCACCCCCAAGGCCCCAAGUACCCUGUAAAUUAUGUGUCCAAACUAUACCAUAGGGAAAAUGUUAUACGGAGUACUUCGUAUUUUUUAUUCUUAUUUAUAUACUCCAGGUUUCACUAAUUGUCAAAAUAGUCGGGUGUUUUACGGA
RNA transcript from Spinacia oleracea (spinach), 1666 nucleotides. RefSeq lists it as uncharacterized. The transcript has 13 exons. Lineage: Eukaryota; Viridiplantae; Streptophyta; Magnoliopsida; Caryophyllales; Amaranthaceae. The record is from RefSeq and is a predicted model, not a curated record.